GAAGUCUUCGGAUGGAUAGAAGAACCCCUGAUGCCGUCGAGCCAAGAAAAGUUUCUAAGUUUAGCUAAUGUUGCCCGUACCGUAAACCGACACAGGUGGGUGGGAUGAGUAUUCUAAGGCGCGUGGAAGAACUCUCUUUAAGGAACUCUGCAAAAUAGCACCGUAUCUUCGGUAUAAGGUGUGGUUAGCUUUGUAUUAGGAUUUACUCCGAAAGCAAGGAAACUUACAACAAAGAGUCCCUCCCGACUGUUUACCAAAAACACAGCACUCUGCUAACUCGUAAGAGGAUGUAUAGGGUGUGACGCCUGCCCGGUGCUCGAAGGUUAAUUGAUGGGGUUAGCAUUAGCGAAGCUCUUGAUCGAAGCCCGAGUAAACGGCGGCCGUAACUAUAACGGUCCUAAGGUAGCGAAAUUCCUUGUCGGUUAAAUACCGACCUGCAUGAAUGGCGUAACGAGAUGGGAGCUGUCUCAAAGAGGGAUCCAGUGAAAUUGUAGUGGAGGUGAAAAUUCCUCCUACCCGCGGCAAGACGGAAAGACCCCGUGGACCUUUACUACAGCUUGACACUGCUACUUGGAUAAGAAUGUGCAGGAUAGGUGGGAGGCUUUGAGUAUAUGACGCCAGUUGUAUAUGAGCCAUUGUUGAGAUACCACUCUUUCUUAUUUGGGUAGCUAACCAGCUUGAGUUAUCCUCAAGUGGGACAAUGUCUGGUGGGUAGUUUGACUGGGGCGGUCGCCUCCCAAAUAAUAACGGAGGCUUACAAAGGUUGGCUCAGAACGGUUGGAAAUCGUUCGUAGAGUAUAAAGGUAUAAGCCAGCUUAACUGCAAGACAUACAAGUCAAGCAGAGACGAAAGUCGGUCUUAGUGAUCCGGUGGUUCUGUGUGGAAGGGCCAUCGCUCAAAGGAUAAAAGGUACCCCGGGGAUAACAGGCUGAUCUCCCCCAAGAGCUCACAUCGACGGGGAGGUUUGGCACCUCGAUGUCGGCUCAUCGCAUCCUGGGGCUGGAGCAGGUCCCAAGGGUAUGGCUGUUCGCCAUUUAAAGCGGUACGCGAGCUGGGUUCAGAACGUCGUGAGACAGUUCGGUCCCUAUCUGCCGUGGGCGUAAGAAGAUUGAAGAGAUUUGACCCUAGUACGAGAGGACCGGGUUGAACAAACCACUGGUGUAGCUGUUGUUCUGCCAAGAGCAUCGCAGCGUAGCUAAGUUUGGAAAGGAUAAACGCUGAAAGCAUCUAAGCGUGAAGCCAACUCUAAGAUGAAUCUUCUCUAAGCUCUCUAGAAGACUACUAGUUUGAUAGGCUGGGUGUGUAAUGGAUGAAAGUCCUUUAGCUGACCAGUACUAAUAGAGCGUUUGGCUUAUCUUU
Molecule: ribosomal RNA, 1359 nt
Filed under: Campylobacter jejuni
Lineage: Bacteria; Pseudomonadati; Campylobacterota; Epsilonproteobacteria; Campylobacterales; Campylobacteraceae
Description: partial 23S ribosomal RNA
Rfam family: Bacterial large subunit ribosomal RNA
Source: RNAcentral